Molecule: long non-coding RNA, 256 nt
Filed under: Elaeis guineensis (African oil palm)
Lineage: Eukaryota; Viridiplantae; Streptophyta; Magnoliopsida; Arecales; Arecaceae
Description: long non-coding RNA (EGUI_LNC010150)
Source: RNAcentral
CAUAAAUAAAGAAAUUAUAAUGUAUUAUCAUAUAAUUAUCUUGUCCAGCAAUAGCUUGCUUCUUUCUCGACCUGUUCGGAUCCAGGGAGGCAAUGUACUGAGGAUAGUUCCUCUUUCAGUGCCUCUACUUCUUGCAAUAGAAGCAUUCCUCCUGACUCUGAUCGGACUUAGAUUUCUUGAUCUGAUUGGGCUUGCAUGCCCUAGCACUUUGCAUUUUCUUUUUAUUCUUCUUGUUCUUCUUCCCUUUCUUAAAGGA